AACGAGCCGAGGGGCAAUGUGGAAACGUCAGGACUGCGCAGUCCGGCAACAUCAGCAGAGAGCCCGCUAUACGUGACGGAUUGGCUGAAGCGUACAGAAAUAUUGAGCCUCCUGCAAGAGGCAGCCAAGCAAUAGCAAA
This 139-nucleotide non-coding RNA is filed under the name unclassified sequences. Its description in RNAcentral is "poplar-1 RNA". It matches the Rfam family "poplar-1 RNA". Rfam says of the family: metagenome only. Environment (Groundwater, Oak Ridge) The record is from Rfam by way of RNAcentral.